CUCCGGGUGGUCUAGUUGGUUCAUGGCGUCCGACUGUAAAUGUUCAGUUCAUCGGAAUGUCGCGUGUUCGAUUCACGCCCUGGAGA
This is a non-coding RNA of Drechmeria coniospora, 86 nucleotides long. The record is from Rfam. NCBI's taxonomy places the organism in Eukaryota, Fungi, Ascomycota, Sordariomycetes, Hypocreales, Ophiocordycipitaceae.